Molecule: long non-coding RNA, 417 nt
Filed under: Cyanistes caeruleus (blue tit)
Lineage: Eukaryota; Metazoa; Chordata; Aves; Passeriformes; Paridae
Description: lncRNA (ENSCCEG00000024365.1)
Source: RNAcentral
AUGCUCUCCAGGCUGGAAGGAUCAUUCCAGCCCCUUGUGAAUUUUAUGAAGCCAGGCAGGAAAAAAUGUACAAGGAGCAGUGAUGAGACAACAGCAGCAGCAACAAAGAAGCAAGGAAAGGGAGCAAAAGUAAAUUUGCACCACAUGUGCAAUUAUCAUCACAGAACAACAUUUUAUCAGGACAGGUGCUGGAUUAACAACACUGAUCCUCUACUACAGCAGACUCUGAGGUUUCAAGGCAGGAAGACAGGUGAUUUGUGGCUUUCAGUGAUACAAUUUAUCUGUGCUGCUUGGCAGCUCAGCUGGCUCCCCUUCUCCUCCUGAGGAACACAACCACAUGCAGAUGCUAUUUAUACACCGGGCAAAUUAUUUCUGCAACCAUAUUUUCCCAAUAAAGCCUGCCUCCUGUCCCGUCCA